This 425-nucleotide ribosomal RNA is filed under the name uncultured bacterium. RNAcentral's name for it is "bacterial SSU rRNA". It matches the Rfam family "Bacterial small subunit ribosomal RNA", at positions 354 to 796 of the family's 1533-position model. The record is from RNAcentral.
GUUAGGAAUAUUGGACAAUGGGCGCAAGCCUGAUCCAGCCAUGCCGCGUGAGUGAUGAAGGCCUUCGGGUUGUAAAGCUCUUUAGCCGAUGAUUAUAAUGACUGUAGUCGGAAAAUAAGCCCCGGCUAACUUCGUACCAGCAGCCGCGGUAAUACGAAGGGGGCGAGCGUUAUUCGGAAUCACUGGGCGUAAAGCGUGCGUAGGCGGCUUUGCAAGUUGGGAGUGAAAGCCCAGGGCUCAACCCUGGAAUUGCUCUCAAAACUGCAAGGCUCGAAUUCGGGAGAGGAUAGCGGAAUUGUCAGUGUAGCAGUGAAAUGCGUAGAUAUUGACAGGAACACCAGUGGCGUAAGCGGCUAUCUGGACCGAUAUUGACGCUGAGGCACGAAAGCGUGGGGAUCAAACAGGAUUAGAUACCCUGGUAGUCC